GACGAACGCUGGCGGCGUGCCUAAUACAUGCAAGUCGAGCGGACCGGAUUGGGGCUUGCCUUGAUUCGGUCAGCGGCGGACGGGUGAGUAACACGUGGGCAACCUGCCCGCAAGACCGGGAUAACUCCGGGAAACCGGAGCUAAUACCGGAUAACACCGAAGACCGCAUGGUCUUCGGUUGAAAGGCGGCCUUUGGGCUGUCACUUGCGGAUGGGCCCGCGGCGCAUUAGCUAGUUGGUGAGGUAACGGCGCACCAAGGCGACGAUGCGUAGCCGGCCUGGGAGGGUGACCGGCCACACUGGGACUGAGACACGGCCCAGACUCCUACGGGAGGCAGCAGUAGGGAAUCUUCCGCAAUGGGCGAAAGCCUGACGGAGCGACGCCGCGUGAGCGAAGAAGGCCUUCGGGUCGUAAAGCUCUGUUGUGGGGGACGAAGGAGCGUCGUUCGAAGAGGGCGGCGCGGUGACGGUACCUCACGAGAAAGCCCCGGCUAACUACGUG
This 501-nucleotide ribosomal RNA is filed under the name uncultured bacterium. RNAcentral's name for it is "partial 16S ribosomal RNA". It matches the Rfam family "Bacterial small subunit ribosomal RNA", at positions 28 to 507 of the family's 1533-position model. The record is from RNAcentral.